GCUUCUCAUCUUUGGAUCUAGAUCUUUUCUUUCAGAUCUUGAAGAAGAUCGUGGCGCGAACUCUUUCAUGUAGAUCCGAUGAGAUCUGAAUCAGAUCACCAUAAAGAGAAGAAGAAUCCUUCUUCUUCUCUCCUUCUCUCUCUUUUCUCUUCGAGUUGUUAGCCCUAGUACAUACAGAUGUAUGUGGACCGAUGACAACUCAGGUCAAAAAGGAGGAUACUCCUAUUUUAUCAUCUUUACAGAUGAUUUAUC
This 252-nucleotide long non-coding RNA is filed under the name Elaeis guineensis (African oil palm). Its description in RNAcentral is "long non-coding RNA (EGUI_LNC033653)". The record is from RNAcentral. Lineage: Eukaryota; Viridiplantae; Streptophyta; Magnoliopsida; Arecales; Arecaceae.